Molecule: ribosomal RNA, 440 nt
Filed under: uncultured bacterium
Lineage: Bacteria
Description: bacterial SSU rRNA
Rfam family: Bacterial small subunit ribosomal RNA
Source: RNAcentral
CCUACGGGGGGCAGCAGUGAGGAAUAUUGGUCAAUGGGCGCAAGCCUGAACCAGCCAUGCCGCGUGCAGGAUGAAGCAUCUAUGGUGUGUAAACUGCUUUUGUACGAGAAGAAACACUCCUUCGUGAAGGAGCUUGACGGUAUCGUAAGAAUAAGGACCGGCUAACUCCGUGCCAGCAGCCGCGGUAAUACGGAGGGUCCAAGCGCUAUCCGGAAUCAUUGGGUUUAAAGGGUCCGUAGGCGGUUUUGUAAGUCAGUGGUGAAAGCCUAUCGCUCAACGGUGGAACGGCCAUUGAUACUGCAAGACUUGAAUUAUUAGGAAGUAACUAGAAUAUGUAGUGUAGCGGUGAAAUGCUUAGAGAUUACAUGGAAUACCAAUUGCGAAGGCAGGUUACUACUAAUGGAUUGACGCUGAUGGACGAAAGCGUGGGUAGCGAACAG